UGGAAUGUAAGGAAGUGUGUGG
RNAcentral lists this microRNA (22 nucleotides) under Lepisosteus oculatus (spotted gar). Its description in RNAcentral is "Loc-Mir-1-P2_3p (mature (guide))". Lineage: Eukaryota; Metazoa; Chordata; Actinopteri; Semionotiformes; Lepisosteidae. RNAcentral also lists the same sequence under 55 other names. The record is from RNAcentral.